Long non-coding RNA from Nematostella vectensis (starlet sea anemone), 1769 nucleotides. RefSeq lists it as uncharacterized. NCBI's taxonomy places the organism in Eukaryota, Metazoa, Cnidaria, Anthozoa, Actiniaria, Edwardsiidae. The record is from RefSeq and is a predicted model, not a curated record. The transcript is spliced from 2 exons.
GUGCGCGUGGUGUUGAUUGGCUGGAGAGCUAGGUCAUCCUGAGCCUCUUCGUCGUUCUCCACGUCACCGUUGACUGGAGUCGUUACUAAAGAGACAAAUAAGGGUUCAAAAUGUACAUUGAGAGAACCUUGGCCCUAAGGGAAGCCCAUUGGACAGCCGCACAUUAACUCUAUGCGCAUCUGAUGACAUAACCCCCACUGUAUAGAGAAAAUACAAGCAAAAUAACGUCGCUAAACAUACGUUGAUCCUUCUUCUGUUGUCUCGCCCUCCUCCCCUUGCAGUAGAUCAUCAGGCCCACGACCAGCACGAUAUAGGCGGCGGCACAACCCACGGCGAUGCCGAUAGCACGGCCCAUGGACGCGGUGGAGCUUAGGGCUUCCGCAGGGCUGUUCCGCACCACCUGGAGACAGCAAGAAGAGAAUGAGUCAAAUGUAUACAACAACUGCUCUAAUUCUAUCCCAUCUAUAACAACAUAGUAAGAGAAUGAGUCAAAUGUAUACAACAACUGCUCUAAUUCUAUCCCAUCUAUAACAGCAUAGUAAGAGAAUGAGUCAAAUGUAUACAACAACUGCUCUAAUUCUAUCCCAUCUAUAACAACAUAGUAAGAGAAUGAGUCAAAUGUAUACAACAACUGCUCUAAUUCUAUCCCAUCUAUAACAACAUAGUAAGAGAAUUUGUCAAAUGUAUACAACAACUGCUCUAAUUCUAUCCCAUCUAUAACAACAUAGUAAGAGAAUGAGUCAAAUGUAUACAACAACUGCUCUAAUUCUAUCCCAUCUAUAACAGCAUAGUAAGAGAAUGAGUCAAAUGUAUACAACAACUGCUCUAAUUCUAUCCCAUCUAUAACAACAUAGUAAGAGAAUGAGUCAAAUGUAUACAACAACUGCUCUAAUUCUAUCCCAUCUAUAACAGCAUAGUAAGAGAAUGAGUCAAAUGUAUACAACAACUGCUCUAAUUCUAUCUCAUCUAUGACGACAUAGUAAGAAGAGAAUGAGUCAAAUGUAUACAACAACUGCUCUAAUUCUAUCCCAUCUAUAACAGCAUAGUAAGAGAAUGAGUCAAAUGUAUACAACAACUGCUCUAAUUCUAUCCCAUCUAUGACGACAUAGUAAGAAGAGAAUGAGUCAAAUGUAUACAACAACUGCUCUAAUUCUAUCCCAUCUAUAACAGCAUAGUAAGAGAAUGAGUCAAAUGUAUACAACAACUGCUCUAAUUCUAUCCCAUCUAUAACAGCAUAGUAAGAGAAUGAGUCAAAUGUAUACAACAACUGCUCUAAUUCUAUCCCAUCUAUAACAGCAUAGUAAGAGAAUGAGUCAAAUGUAUACAACAACUGCUCUAAUUCUAUCCCAUCUAUAACAACAUAGUAAGAAGAGAAUUUGUCAAAUGUAUACAACAACUGCUCUAAUUCUAUCCCAUCUAUAACAGCAUAGUAAGAGAAUGAGUCAAAUGUAUACAAUAACUGCUCUAAUUCUAUCCCAUCUAUAACAGCAUAGUAAGAGAAUGAGUCAAAUGUAUACAACAACUGCUCUAAUUCUAUCCCAUCUAUAACAACAUAGUAAGAAGAGAAUUUGUCAAAUGUAUACAACAACUGCUCUAAUUCUAUCCCAUCUAUAACAGCAUAGUAAGAGAAUGAGUCAAAUGUAUACAACAACUGCUCUAAUUCUAUCCCAUCUAUAACAGCAUAGUAAGAGAAUGAGUCAAAUGUAUACAACAACUGCUCUAAUUCUAUCCCAUCUAUAACAACAUAGUAAGAGAAUUUGUCAAAUGUA